RNAcentral lists this ribosomal RNA (371 nucleotides) under uncultured bacterium. RNAcentral's name for it is "bacterial SSU rRNA". It matches the Rfam family "Bacterial small subunit ribosomal RNA", at positions 29 to 429 of the family's 1533-position model. The record is from RNAcentral.
AGCGAACGCUGGCGGCAGGCUUAACACAUGCAAGUCGAGCGCCCCGCAAGGGGAGCGGCAGACGGGAGAGUAACACGUGGGAACGUACCUUUUGGUUCGGAACAACUGAGGGAAACUUCAGCUAAUACCGGAUAAGCCCUUACGGGGAAAGAUUUAUCGCCAAAAGAUCGGCCCGCGUCUGAUUAGCUAGUUGGUGAGGUAACGGCUCACCAAGGCGACGAUCAGUAGCUGGUCUGAGAGGAUGAUCAGCCUCAUUGGGACUGAGACACGGCCCAAACUCCUACGGGAGGCAGCAGUGGGGAAUAUUGGACAAUGGGCGCAAGCCUGAUCCAGCCAUGCCGCGUGGAUGAUGAAGGCCCUAGGGUUGUAAA